RNAcentral lists this long non-coding RNA (329 nucleotides) under Nicotiana benthamiana. RNAcentral's name for it is "long non-coding RNA (NBEN_LNC028420)". The record is from RNAcentral. Lineage: Eukaryota; Viridiplantae; Streptophyta; Magnoliopsida; Solanales; Solanaceae.
GGAGCGUGUUUUGGGAGAGGGAAAUAGGAGAGAGAUACGGGAUUAUGAAGUUCUGUACAACAGAGCAGCAGCCGAAGUUCGUUGUAUUUGCAGCUGCUUCAACUUCUAUGGAUACCUGUGCAGGCACGCGUUGUGUGUGCUUAACUUCAAUGGUGUGGAAGAGAUCCCUCCAAAGUACAUUUUAUCACGCCUGUGCAGGCACGCGUUGUGUGUACUGAACUUCAAUGGUGUGGAAGAGAUCCCUCCAAAGUACAUUUUAUCACGAUGGAAAAAGGAUUACAAGCGAUUACAUGCAUCAGAUCUUGAAUCCAGUUCUACUGAGUCUACUG